UACGGAGGGUGCAAGCAUUAAUCGGAAUUACUGGGCGUAAAGCGUGCGUAGGCGGUCUCGUAAGUCGGAUGUGAAAGCCCCGGGCUCAACCUGGGAACUGCAUUCGAGACUGUGAGGCUUGAGUGCGGAAGAGGGAAGUGGAAUUUCCGGUGUAGCGGUGAAAUGCGUAGAUAUCGGAAGGAACACCAGUGGCGAAAGCGACUUCCUGGUCCAGCACUGACGCUCAGGCACGAAAGCGUGGGGAGCAAACAGG
This 253-nucleotide unclassified non-coding RNA is filed under the name uncultured Gammaproteobacteria bacterium. RNAcentral describes it as "contains 16S-23S intergenic spacer region". It matches the Rfam family "Bacterial small subunit ribosomal RNA", at positions 524 to 776 of the family's 1533-position model. The record is from RNAcentral. Lineage: Bacteria; Pseudomonadati; Pseudomonadota; Gammaproteobacteria.